RNAcentral lists this long non-coding RNA (534 nucleotides) under Phascolarctos cinereus (koala). Its description in RNAcentral is "lncRNA (ENSPCIG00000034421.1)". Lineage: Eukaryota; Metazoa; Chordata; Mammalia; Diprotodontia; Phascolarctidae. The record is from RNAcentral.
AUGCGCGGCAGCUCGAGUCCCGGGGCCAGGGGCUCUGCCGCUGCCUCCCUCGCCCGCCCGCCCGCCCGCCUGCCCGCCCGCGAUCUUCCUCGGCUGACAGUUACUGUUCCAAGUGACCCUGAUUCACCAUGUGCUGCGAUAGUGGUGUCAGGUCACAAAAUUCAGCUGGAGUUUGCAGCUGGCUAAAAUAAGUAAGCAUACAUGCUGCUUUUUUCCAAGUUGGGAGAAAUAUUUAAUAGAGAUGGACCGAAGCUGAUCCUCCACAAAUAGCAAGCACCAGUACCAACGUGGAGCAAGUACCACAUUUCUACAGGUAACAUUCCUAGUUGUUUAUCAGCAGAAUAGGUACAUCCAAUACAGUAAGUAGAAUAAGAAAACUCUAUAUAUAGAUAAGGAUCUUGGAAAUGGAUAUUUUGUUUUUAACUUAGGUUUUCUAUUUUAUAGUUUUUAACCUAACUAGCAAAUCAUUUUGCAAAUUAUGUCUAUUAUUGGCUGUUUCCAAAUGUAUAAAUGUUGUUAUAGCAUUAGUUCGCU